This 484-nucleotide ribosomal RNA is filed under the name uncultured bacterium. RNAcentral's name for it is "partial 16S ribosomal RNA". It matches the Rfam family "Bacterial small subunit ribosomal RNA", at positions 28 to 507 of the family's 1533-position model. The record is from RNAcentral.
AUUGAACGCUGGCGGCAUGCUUUACACAUGCAAGUCGAACGGCAGCGCGGGCUUCGGCCUGGCGGCGAGUGGCGAACGGGUGAGUAAUGCAUCGGAACGUGCCCAGUAGUGGGGGAUAGCCCGGCGAAAUCCGGAUUAAUACCGCAUACGACCUGAGGGUGAAAGCGGGGGACCGAAAGGCCUCGCGCUAUUGGAGCGGCCGAUGUCGGAUUAGCUAGUUGGUGGGGUAAAGGCUUACCAAGGCGACGAUCCGUAGCUGGUCUGAGAGGACGACCAGCCACACUGGGACUGAGACACGGCCCAGACUCCUACGGGAGGCAGCAGUGGGGAAUUUUGGACAAUGGGGGCAACCCUGAUCCAGCCAUGCCGCGUGCGGGAAGAAGGCCUUCGGGUUGUAAACCGCUUUUGUUCGGGAAGAAAUCCUCUGGGCUAAUACCCCGGGGGGAUGACGGUACCGGAAGAAUAAGCACCGGCUAACUACGUG